Molecule: long non-coding RNA, 367 nt
Organism: Anthonomus grandis grandis
Lineage: Eukaryota; Metazoa; Arthropoda; Insecta; Coleoptera; Curculionidae
Exons: 2
Source: RefSeq, a predicted model, not a curated record
UCAAAAAAGAAGGAUCAAUAGUUGCAUACCCGGGGCUAGACGCCAGUGGCCUUGGUGCCUCUUAGUCAACCACCAACUUUCGAAGAGUGCGUACGUUCCGUUUGAAAUUUAAGUGUAGUUUAGGAAAAUUGUGACGUCAAAGUAAAAUUUGAAGGUACCGGAUAAGAACGGAUUUUUCGAAAUUCCACCGAUAAGGGGUAUAAAAUGGGAAAAUUGUUGCCCGUGACCUCGAGAACUAAGGGGGCGUGGCUUCGGAGUUUGAACGGAGACUGCCCGCACCAACGAGUCGCAGGCAUCAACUUAAGAAAAAAAAAUUAACUGCAACAAUAUUUUUUUAUAAUGUAAUAAUAAUAAUAAUAAUAAUAAA